AUUUAAUUACUCAUUAUAUUUAAUAAAUAAUAAUUAUUAUGAAUGCAUCAUCAUUUAUUAAUAAACACCAAUUAAGAAUGUACUGUGCCAGGCCCUAGAGAUAGAGAUGAAAUCAAUCCCAUCCUCAAGAAGCUCUUGGGCUAAGGAGAGAACCAGAUAAGCAAAGCAAUUAUUUGAAAACAUGUGACCCAUACUCUCAGUAGGAUAAAUGUGCUUGACACUGUGACCAAGGAAGGUCUGGCCAUGGAAGAAGAGAGAGCCAGCAGGGGCUCAGGUGGACUUUGUUAAACCCGACUUUUAGGAGAGAGGAAGGACAGCCCAGCUUUGGAUGCUGGGUCCUUGUUGAAAAAUCUGUGUCGUGGAGAGAAAACUUCUCAGCAUAUGUGAAUUUCUCUUUGUCAGAGAAAGCUGACCCUGUAUGGAUGACAUCACCUGGGCUCUCCUGACUUCUGGUGUGUAGCUGAGUUUGACAACUGUAAGGACUAUAACCAAAAAGGACAUAAUUACUUUGAGGCCAAGGCAGGUAAGAGCCAGUGUGGCUCCUACAUUAAUCCGGAAGCAAAGACCUCCAAGAUGUCAUAGUUGCUAUUUGGAAGCAGCCCAGGUCCUUGAGCACCCUUGGAGGAAAGCUACCUUCCCAACCUCAGACUGUGACAUCAGCACGAAGUAAACGUUUGUCAGGAAAUUCAGCAACACAGUGACUUCUGAAAUGUUGUGCAUAGGAAGGAAAAGCCAAAGGAGUGCUUGGUGGCCCAAGCCUGAAAUGUGACCUAUUGAGCUUUUCUGAGGCAGUGAAGUCAGAGCAAUCCCUCAUCCUCCUACGCUGAGUGUGCAAGGCCUCAGCAGUUUGCAUUCUGUGGCUCUGUUGAGGAUGAACUCAAAGGUUGACAGAGAGCAAUAGUGUGGUGGCACAGGACCAUACUUUUGCCUGAGUACAUAAUGUCUCCCACUGCUGGGUGUAUAUGAAACUGCCCACGGAAAUCACUGCGGGACUGCCGUGGAAAGUCACUCUGCCAACCUGUCUGCGGGGGAACACCUUCGAGCAUGGAAUUGCAGUGAUGCCAAGGACCUCAACAGCAACUCCCUGACCUCGACAGAAAGAUGACUUACAGUCCCCUCUACUGACUACAGGCAUGAGGAUCGAGUCUGAAAACCUUGACCACAGGGAAGAGCAGAGACCUGAGGACUGUGGAGUCAUCUGGGCCAAUGCAGGAGGCAGAGAAGGAUGUUAUACCUCCAGUGUGCUCGUGUUCUCCCACAGGAAGAAGGUCUGAUAUUCUGGGACAAGGCAGUAAACAGUUCGGUACACAGUCUAGGUAUUCCUGAUGAGGCCACUUCCUCACACUUGUCCUGGAAGAAGGCAAACAUACAGAAGGAAAAAGUCCCUCCAUGAAAUGGAGCCAUAGCUCUGGCUACCCUUUCCAGGUAUAACCCUCAUUCAGGGACAAUGGAGAGGCUGGUGGGGCACAUCCGCCUCUGCCUCACCACUCUGUGCAUUUCCUUGCUUCAGUAAAAGCCAUUUCUGGACCUAUAUCAUGUGAUACUGAAGAAUUCAUUCUGACCUUCCUUGUAUGAGUAAUGGCAGCCUGGACAUGAAAGUCAUUAUUUCAAAAAGUCUAAUAGGCACUACAUUUAGCUAAGAUUACUCUGUACAAAUAAUUACUUAAUAAAUUUCCUUUUACUUACCAACUUGACAUUUCCCUGUAUGGCCCUGGAAGAUGACUGGUUAGCCAGAGACGGGUAAGAUUCCUCAAGGGAGGAACAACCUAAGACAGGCACAGUCGCAGGGGGGCCAUCAGGUGAGAAAUUGGGGAUCAACAGAGGUGAGGCUUAGAACCUCACCCCCCCGUUCUGAGAGAAAUCUUCUGCAUACGUGGAUGUUUUAUUGCCCUUGUCUAGCUUGGAUUAACACAUAGUCUACAGGCACACACCUGAUCAUCUACAUGUGCUCUCUUACAACACUAAACUAUGUUUUCUACCUUUAUCUUGUAUCUACCUACCACUUCAGCAUUUUAUUAAAAAUAAUAAUAAUAAAGAGAGAAAUGUGGUAUCCACAUAUAAAUCAAGUAUAAAAAUCAAACAAAUAUUCAUAUUUGACCUGAUUGUUUAUAGUUCAUGAUGCGUGAUCAAAACCGAAAGUUUCUGUGAUGACUGCCCUUGUACUGUUCACUAUGUAACUUAUUCAUUAUGUAAGAAUUUGUUCUCCAUGUAAGAACUUGUUCGUUAUGCUUCAAAAGAUUGGAGACUGACGAAAAUUAGGCUUGGGGUGGAUUAAUGAUUGUGCAUUGAGCAUUGACCCCCCUAUACAGAAUUUUAUUGUUGUCAACAACCAUUUGAUCAAUAAAUAUGA
Molecule: long non-coding RNA, 2350 nt
Organism: Manis pentadactyla (Chinese pangolin)
Lineage: Eukaryota; Metazoa; Chordata; Mammalia; Pholidota; Manidae
Exons: 7
Source: RefSeq, a predicted model, not a curated record